RNAcentral lists this ribosomal RNA (452 nucleotides) under uncultured bacterium. Its description in RNAcentral is "bacterial SSU rRNA". It matches the Rfam family "Bacterial small subunit ribosomal RNA", at positions 354 to 796 of the family's 1533-position model. The record is from RNAcentral.
GUGGGGAAUUUUGGGCAAUGGGCGCAAGCCUGACCCAGCGACGCCGCGUGGGGGAUGAAGGCCUUCGGGUUGUAAACCCCUGUCAGGUGGGAAGAAAGGUCGGUCGGCAAACAGCCGGCAGACCCUGACGGUACCGCCAAAGGAAGCCCCGGCUAACUCCGUGCCAGCAGCCGCGGUAAUACGGAGGGGGCAAGCGUUAUUCGGAAUUACUGGGCGUAAAGCGCACGUAGGCGGCAAGGCAAGUCGUAGGUGAAAGCCCUCAGCUCAACUGAGGAACUGCCUUUGAAACUGCUUUGCUUGAGUCCGGGAGAGGAGAGCGGAAUUCCCAGUGUAGCGGUGAAAUGCGUAGAUACUGGGAGGAACACCGGUGGCGAAGGCGGCUCUCUGGACCGGCACUGACGCUGAGGUGCGAAAGCGUGGGUAGCAAACAGGAUUAGAUACCCUGGUAGUCC